Long non-coding RNA from Anguilla anguilla (European eel), 2272 nucleotides. RefSeq lists it as uncharacterized. The record is from RefSeq and is a predicted model, not a curated record. NCBI's taxonomy places the organism in Eukaryota, Metazoa, Chordata, Actinopteri, Anguilliformes, Anguillidae. The transcript has 3 exons.
UGAGAAUACACUAUACACGAUAAAUAUGUUCGAAAAUACCACUGGGCUGUUCGUUCACUUGGCGAAACUGGUGAAAAUUUGAUGACAAAGAGGACCUGGGAAUAUGCCCACACACAGAGGCAGGAGGAAAGGGAGGAGGCGCAGGAGGGAGCUGAAGAGAAGGAUAAGGAGCAGAAGGAGAGACAGGAGGGGUGAGAACUGAGGAGGAAACGGGGAGCAGGGAGAUCUGGUGAGAGACGGGGGAGCAGGGAGAGCGGGUGAAGAGACGGUUGUAGUUUUGUGUUUUUGUUCGUUGUCCAUUUCCUCUUGCUUGCAGGAUUCUCUGGCGGUGGUGAUUGCUUUGAACAUGCGGAGCCUUGGGGGUCGGCAGUGGGGGGUGCAGGCCGUCCUGUCGUACCUGAAGAACGUAAAAGGUGGAAAUUUUGUUUCUGCAGGAGCUCCACAAAAUCAGCAGGGCAGGAGGGAUUUGUUGGACAAGAUUUCCCCACACCUGUUGGGGAGGGUGCCUUGUUUGUUGGGUAGUGUUCUGGUUUUUUCCAGCGCAUGGGCUGACAUUAGGUUACGUGGUGGAAGUUUUGAAAUCGGUGACCCAUUUGGACCUGCUGCAUCGGCACAGACCUGGCGUGGUUCCUGGCCCGGUUCCUGGCCCAUGAUGUGCUGCCGGUGAGUGGUCCUGCAAGCCCGGAGGUUCAGGGACAUCAUUCUGCCCCCCAAGACACCUGCAAUGAGAGAGUCGGCCUGGCACUGUCUGUGGGACGGUCUCCGCGCACUGGAGGUCGGCCCAGCCACUAGUUCAACUGGUAGCUGGAAGGAGAGCCAUGGACUGUUAUAUGAUGCUCUACGAUGGUGCCCGGCAACGUGUGGGAACCUCUCAGCAGGGGGGCUUGGUGGCUCUUGGUGAACUUGUGCCAGGAAGCUCUCUGGGUGGCGGAAGGAAAGGGGCUGCCUCCAGACGCUGCGUGGCAGAUGGCGGAUGGCGGAUGGCGGAUGGUGAAGGUGUUGGACUACAUGGGGCGAGACCGCAGAAAGUGGGGGGCUGAGACUGCUAAAGCACAAAUGGGGGGGAACUGGCAUGGACAAUGAUGGGCCUGGACUUUGAAAACAUUUCAGAAUAAAACUGGGUUCUUUUUGUGUUGAUGAAGUGGUGAAGAGUGGAGUUUGUUAUUUAAGGACACGCACUGAUUUGUACAAAAGAAAAGUUGUUUUUAUUGUGCGGUUUUAUUGUUUUUAUUAUUGGUCAUGGUUGGGGGUUAUUGUAUGGUGUGAUUUAAACAUGAUUUUAGUUUCUGUAUAUUUUGGGGGGUUUCAUUUGGGAUGUCCUUUUGAAUUGAUAUUUAUGUGUUUGAGAUUGGGGGGGGAUCAUAUUGUGAUUGCAGUUUUCAUUUAUAGAAAGGAUAUUUUGUUUUUGGUAUUAUGUAUUGAUAGCUAAGUUAUGCAUUUGAUUUGAUUUUAUGCCUUUUAAUUGUAUUUAUUUGGUUACACUUAUUGUCAGUCCAGCCAUGAAUUAAUUGAAAAUGUAAUUGUAAUACAAAUUGUACAGAUUUAAUGUUAAUAUUUUCAAAAACCAAAACGAAAAUUGUGCAAGAAGAGCUUUCGGAGUAUAUGCAAAGAUUAUAAGCAGUAUUACUUGGUUAUUGCAAAAGAUACGUUCCUUGUUCAAGACUGACUUCAUUACGGCAAUAAUUGCAAAAUGACGAAUGUUCAUCUAUUCCGAAAGUUUUUUUUAUUUGGGUCUGAGCAUUGAGUGCAGUGCCUUGUGUUCAUAGUACAAUGGAGUUAUGGUUAUAGUUUCGGAAACUCCUUUGGAAUGAUGUGUGUGUACUCCGUUUUAGUUACAGAGCUGUAAUAUCAACCUUUCAAUGUUAGAAAUGCUAACAAAACCUGAAAAUCUUAUGUAGAGCAUGUCUAUACCUUCUAAGGAAUAAUGUUAAUCUCAGGUAAAUUUCACUCUAAUUAGUUCCCUCGUUGCAAAGGACCCACGUGAAGAAUGCAAACUUACCAUUUGCGCUAAGAAAUUGUUUUAAAACUUUGGAAAAGAAAUGUGUUAUGGAUAACCAGAAGUCACCUCAACUCUUAAAUUACCUUUUUAAUUUUUGUAACAUAACCACAAAUGAGUCAGCUGAGACAGUCAGUGCACUGCCGAGCAGUCUGGUGAUACUUUAUGUCUUGAAUAUGGUGUCAUUUUCCAUCAAUACCACUGCAGAGUCUGUAUAACAUUUGUCUAUUGCUUAUACAGACCCAUUGGUUUAAAACAUGUGCUUUUUGAUGUUGA